ACUCCUACGGAGGCAGCAGUGGGGAAUAUUGCACAAUGGGCGCAAGCCUGAUGCAGCCAUGCCGCGUGUGUGAAGAAGGCCUUCGGGUUGUAAAGCACUUUCAGCGAGGAGGAAGGCAUUAAGGUUAAUAACCUUGGUGAUUGACGUUACUCCCAGAAGAAGCACCGGCUAACUCCGUGCCAGCAGCCGCGGUAAU
This 196-nucleotide ribosomal RNA is filed under the name uncultured Enterobacter sp. RNAcentral's name for it is "partial 16S ribosomal RNA". It matches the Rfam family "Bacterial small subunit ribosomal RNA", at positions 335 to 524 of the family's 1533-position model. Lineage: Bacteria; Pseudomonadati; Pseudomonadota; Gammaproteobacteria; Enterobacterales; Enterobacteriaceae. The record is from RNAcentral.